GCCUGGGUGGCUCAGUCGGUUGAGCGUCUGACUUCGGUUCAGGUCACUAUCUCGCGGUUCGAGCCCCGCGUCGGGCU
This 77-nucleotide transfer RNA is filed under the name Felis catus (domestic cat). It matches the Rfam family "tRNA". From Rfam's summary of the family: Transfer RNA (tRNA) molecules are approximately 80 nucleotides in length. Their secondary structure includes four short double-helical elements and three loops (D, anti-codon, and T loops). Further hydrogen bonds mediate the characteristic L-shaped molecular structure. tRNAs have two regions of fundamental functional importance: the anti-codon, which is responsible for specific mRNA codon recognition, and the 3' end, to which the tRNAs corresponding amino acid is attached (by aminoacyl-tRNA synthetases). tRNAs cope with the degeneracy of the genetic code in two manners: having more than one tRNA (with a specific anti-codon) for a particular amino acid; and 'wobble' base-pairing, i.e. permitting non-standard base-pairing at the 3rd anti-codon position. Lineage: Eukaryota; Metazoa; Chordata; Mammalia; Carnivora; Felidae. The record is from Rfam by way of RNAcentral.